GACAUCCCGGAGACCCUUAGGAAACUAGGGGGUGCUUCCAUCUGGAAGAAAUCUGGAGACAGGUGCUGCAUGGCUGUCGUCAGCUCGUGUCGUGAGAUGUUGGGUUAAGUCCCGCAACGAGCGCAACCCUUGCCUUUAGUUGCCAGCAGUUCGGCUGGGCACUCUAAAGGGGACUGCCGGUGUUAAACCGGAGGAAGGUGGGGAUGACGUCAAGUCCUCAUGGCCUUUAUGACCAGGGCUACACACGUACUACAAUGGCCGAUACAAAGGGCAGCGACACUGCGAGGUGAAGCCAAUCCCGUAAAAUCGGUCUCAGUCCGGAUUGGAGUCUGCAACUCGACUCCAUGAAGUUGGAAUCGCUAGUAAUCGUGGAUCAGCAUGCCACGGUGAAUACGUUCCCGGGCCUU
This 407-nucleotide ribosomal RNA is filed under the name uncultured Desulfobulbus sp. RNAcentral describes it as "bacterial SSU rRNA". It matches the Rfam family "Bacterial small subunit ribosomal RNA", at positions 983 to 1382 of the family's 1533-position model. Lineage: Bacteria; Pseudomonadati; Thermodesulfobacteriota; Desulfobulbia; Desulfobulbales; Desulfobulbaceae. The record is from RNAcentral.